GUUUGGAAUAAAUUUUUUGUAAUUGUUUGUUGAAUGAUCAUGAAUGUUGUUUGAAUUUUUGUGAAUCUGUGAUUGGAUGAUAAUGAUUUUCUUCGUUUCUGAAUCGAAUUUUCUGAAUUGAAU
Molecule: non-coding RNA, 123 nt
Organism: Arachis ipaensis
Lineage: Eukaryota; Viridiplantae; Streptophyta; Magnoliopsida; Fabales; Fabaceae
Source: RefSeq, a predicted model, not a curated record